CCUACGGGGGGCAGCAGUGGGGAAUUUUGGACAAUGGGCGAAAGCCUGAUCCAGCAAUGCCGCGUGCAGGAUGAAGGCCCUCGGGUUGUAAACUGCUUUUGUACGGAACGAAAAGCCUGGGGCUAAUAUCCCCGGGUCAUGACGGUACCGUAAGAAUAAGCACCGGCUAACUACGUGCCAGCAGCCGCGGUAAUACGUAGGGUGCAAGCGUUAAUCGGAAUUACUGGGCGUAAAGCGUGCGCAGGCGGUUUUGUAAGACAGUGGUGAAAUCCCCGGGCUCAACCUGGGAACUGCCAUUGUGACUGCAAGGCUAGAGUGCGGCAGAGGGGGAUGGAAUUCCGCGUGUAGCAGUGAAAUGCGUAGAUAUGCGGAGGAACACCGAUGGCGAAGGCAAUCCCCUGGGCCUGCACUGACGCUCAUGCACGAAAGCGUGGGGAGCAAACAGGAUUAGAUACCCCAGUAGUC
This 465-nucleotide ribosomal RNA is filed under the name uncultured bacterium. Its description in RNAcentral is "bacterial SSU rRNA". It matches the Rfam family "Bacterial small subunit ribosomal RNA", at positions 338 to 795 of the family's 1533-position model. The record is from RNAcentral.